Brachypodium distachyon (stiff brome) is the source of this 1238-nucleotide long non-coding RNA. RefSeq lists it as uncharacterized. The transcript has 3 exons. Lineage: Eukaryota; Viridiplantae; Streptophyta; Magnoliopsida; Poales; Poaceae. The record is from RefSeq and is a predicted model, not a curated record.
UGUUCUGCUGACCCAGUCCAGGUCUUCUUCUGUUCUUGAUGCGUACUCGGUAGAUGCGGACGCCGGGGACCCUAGGUGGCCGUAGGAGCCGGCAGCGGCGGAACUCCCCUUUACCGAUCUGGGGGCACGUGUACACCAAAUCCAUCCGCCUCGCGCCCUCCUCCUCCUCCUCCUCCUGACUCAAGCCCCCAACUCGGCAUGAUCUCCGCCGGUACCCGUAUUGCCGCCGCCGCCGCCGGCCGCCGGAGAUGCCGCGCCGUCGCUGCACUCUCUGAGAAGAGAUCAGCGGUUUCUCUCCUUUAAGAAGCAUAUGCCGGAGGGCCUCCUCCAAGUCAAUGCCAACAGACAGAGACCUGAGGCAGCACUCCAACUUAGGCUGCUUGGAGCCCUUCUCUGACUUACUUUGAGGGGAGUGAUCAUGUGGGACUUGUUGCAUCUUACUUUGAUGCUGCCUUUGUUUGUUGCUCCAAUAUGGCAGUGCGGUGGUAUCAAGCAGAGAGGAUAUGCACCGUACUGACCCAGGAAACUGGGUUAGAUGGAUGUCACUGGCAAGAUACGCGAUGAUCCUGGCAGCCAGCUCCCUGAUCUCCGUGUCGCUGCUUCUCCACCCCAAGGGUCACGCCAGCAUUUCAAUCGGGUGUCGAAGAGGUACUCUACGAGCGAUGUGAUUCCCCACUCUUUCGGCAAGUUCCAUUCUUUACGGAGCGAAACCACAAUCCAUACCGCUGCGUGAUCAAUCAACCACCACGAGAAGAAGAGCACGCCUUGGCAAAUAACCAAAGUGUAAAAUAUGUCCAGUGCUGGCACCAGGUUCCUUUUGCUAUCAUCUAUCAGGGUGUCUCCAUAGUCGCGUUGCCCUAUGCGCCAUGCUGAGAGCAUGAUGCAGGCAACAGGCCCAAAAAUGUAAAUGGCAGUUGCAAUUAGGACCAUGAGCAGUGCUGGCAAGGAUAGUGCUUGGAGAAUGAGAUGGGCAACUUGUAUGGGCCCCAUCAGGAUACGAUUGAAUAUGGAAUCGCCAUUUAAAUUUUGCAUCAGUCUUUUAGGAUUUGCAAAUAUUUUGUCCAUAAGCUUGUUUGUUAGGUCCAACACAACUGGGAACAGGUUGUCCCCUGAGUCGUUGAAGAUCCUGGUGUGCAAUAGGAAAGGCAUAGUCAGUGUCCUAUUCACUCAUGCCUAAUUAAUGAGAGUACAAACUGAGUAAAUUUCACGAGGAAUACAUAUGUAGACACACUUUCACA